Neopelma chrysocephalum (saffron-crested tyrant-manakin) is the source of this 581-nucleotide long non-coding RNA. RefSeq lists it as uncharacterized. The transcript is spliced from 3 exons. NCBI's taxonomy places the organism in Eukaryota, Metazoa, Chordata, Aves, Passeriformes, Pipridae. The record is from RefSeq and is a predicted model, not a curated record.
GACAAAGGCAAGAGGUUUCCUUUGCCAGCCAUGGUGGUAUCUCACAGCUUCUGAUGCUAUGCAGGCUGCCAAAGAAGGACUCAUUGCUGCUGCAGAGCUCCUGAGGUGGAGGGAGCUCAAAGACCUGGUGCAGACACAACAGACAUGGAGGAUUGGGGUGGCCACGCAGCACCUGAGGGACCAAAGCAUGCCUAUGUGGAUGAGAUCUGCAGCACCCUUCAGCCCUUGCAGACAGACAGCAAUGAAAUCGUCUCUUGCCUGGCAACUCAGACCAUCUUGAUCCUGAGGGCUUUAAAUCCCUAAAAACCAAGAUUCAAUCUAUGUACAUUGCUCUUCUGGCAUCACUGAGCCAGCUGGAGGACAGCUGUGAUUUAAUAAAUCUGAAACAAUAGGUCCAAACCCAUGGUGUCCUUCAGAUGCGCAGCAUCCUGAGCAGACUGCAUCCCGCUUGGCCUGUACCACUGCCUGCAGGACAACUUCCCCUCAGCACACCCACAGGCCCAGGCUUUUUUGAGAAGUUGACCCCUUGCUGAGGCUUUUCCCAGGAGAAGCCUCAUUUGUCUCUCCUCAGGGCAGUACCC